Molecule: ribosomal RNA, 640 nt
Filed under: uncultured bacterium
Lineage: Bacteria
Description: bacterial SSU rRNA
Rfam family: Bacterial small subunit ribosomal RNA
Source: RNAcentral
AGAUGGGCAUGCGUAUGAUUAGCUAGUUGGAGAGGUAAUGGCUCCCCAAGGCAACGAUCAUUAGGGGUUCUGAGAGGAAGGUCCCCCACACUGGUACUGAGACACGGACCAGACUCCUACGGGAGGCAGCAGUGAGGAAUAUUGGUCAAUGGGCGAGAGCCUGAACCAGCCAAGUCGCGUGAAGGAAGAAUGUCCUAUGGAUUGUAAACUUCUUUUUUAGGGGAAUAAAGUGCACCACGUGUGGUGUUUUGUAUGUACCCUACGAAUAAGGAUCGGCUAACUCCGUGCCAGCAGCCGCGGUAAUACGGAGGAUCCAAGCGUUAUCCGGAUUUAUUGGGUUUGAAGGGUGCGCAGGCGGGAUAAUAAGUCAGUGGUGAAAGUUUGCAGCUUAACUGUAAAAUUGCCGUUGAAACUGUUAUUCUUGAGUGCAGACAAGGUAGGCGGAAUGUAUUGUGUAGCGGUGAAAUGCUUAGAUAUAAUACAGAACCCCGAUUGCGAAGGCAGCUUACCGGACUGUAACUGACGCUCAGGCACGAAAGCGUGGGGAUCAAACAGGAUUAGAUACCCUGGUAGUCCACGCAGUAAACGAUGAAUACUAGCUUUCGCGAUAUACAGCGAAGUGGCACAGCGAAAGCGUUAA